AUUGUGUGAAUCCUUCGUUCAA
RNAcentral lists this small nuclear RNA (22 nucleotides) under Arabidopsis thaliana (thale cress). RNAcentral describes it as "snRNA_07646". Lineage: Eukaryota; Viridiplantae; Streptophyta; Magnoliopsida; Brassicales; Brassicaceae. The record is from RNAcentral.